Molecule: ribosomal RNA, 249 nt
Filed under: Triticum aestivum (bread wheat)
Lineage: Eukaryota; Viridiplantae; Streptophyta; Magnoliopsida; Poales; Poaceae
Description: partial small subunit ribosomal RNA
Source: RNAcentral
AUGUCGGAAAAACAAGGGGAAAACACUGGAAAAAUAGUUGCAAUCAAGAUGAAUAAGGCUUUUGUAAAAGUGAAGGUGUUUGAGAGGGCACAUCAAGAUAGAAGCUCACCUCUCAGGUCCAUGGCCUCCAAAAUGGGGGCAACAGUUGUGGCAAUGGAGGAGAGGACAGAUGGAGAAGGGCAUGUCAAGGGGGGAGGUUUGGGAGUCUGCGACUGGGAAGGGGAAGGAGGAUUUGGUGCAUCGGCAUGA